This 423-nucleotide ribosomal RNA is filed under the name uncultured microorganism. Its description in RNAcentral is "bacterial SSU rRNA". It matches the Rfam family "Bacterial small subunit ribosomal RNA", at positions 9 to 429 of the family's 1533-position model. The record is from RNAcentral.
GAGUUUGAUCUUGGCUCAGAUUGAACGCUGGCGGCAUGCCUUACACAUGCAAGUCGAACGGCAGCAUGAUCUAGCUCGCUAGAUUGAUGGCGAGUGGCGAACGGGUGAGUAAUACAUCGGAACGUGCCCUGUAGUGGGGGAUAACUAGUCGAAAGAUUAGCUAAUACCGCAUACGACCUGAGGGUGAAAGUGGGGGACCGCAAGGCCUCAUGCUAUAGGAGCGGCCGAUGUCUGAUUAGCUAGUUGGUGGGGUAAAGGCCCACCAAGGCGACGAUCAGUAGCUGGUCUGAGAGGACGAUCAGCCACACUGGGACUGAGACACGGCCCAGACUCCUACGGGGGGCAGCAGUGGGGAAUUUUGGACAAUGGGCGAAAGCCUGAUCCAGCAAUGCCGCGUGUGUGAAGAAGGCCUUCGGUUGUAAG